AUUUCAUCUUUGCUGCUAAACUGCGCUGUGGAGGAGAACGCCAACUUCUCCAGGAAGUGCGCGAUGCCGCUCAGGUACUUCGCUUCGUGCCGCGAUCCGGAGUUGAUGAGGAGGCCCACGGUGCAGAACUGCCCGAAUUUGUUCUGGGAGGCGACGCGCAGCCCGUUCUCCAGCACCGUCACCCGCGUCUCGAAGCGCUCCCGGCCCUCGGCGGCCGCGAACACGGCUUUGGGCACGCCGGGCAGCGGGCACGUCAGAGACACGUUGGGGUAGGAGCCGCCUCCGCUGUAGCUCCGGGCGGCCGCCAGCCCGCACCGCCGGGCCGGGCCCCACGCGCCGCGCCGCAGCCACGCCACGGCGGCCGCCAUCUUGCCGUGCCCCGGAGCCUCGCUUC
RNAcentral lists this long non-coding RNA (394 nucleotides) under Gallus gallus (chicken). Lineage: Eukaryota; Metazoa; Chordata; Aves; Galliformes; Phasianidae. The record is from RNAcentral.